GUGCCAGCCGCCGCGGUAAUACGUAGGGGGCAAGCGUUGUCCGGAAUUAUUGGGCGUAAAGCGCGCGCAGGCGGUGAGUUAAGUCUGAUGUGAAAGGCCAAGGCUCAACCUUGGUAUGCAUUGGAAACUGGCUGACUUGAGUGCAGGAGAGGAGAGUGGAAUUCCACGUGUAGCGGUGAAAUGCGUAGAGAUGUGGAGGAACACCAGUGGCGAAGGCGGCUCUCUGGCCUGUAACUGACGCUGAGGCGCGAAAGCGUGGGGAGCAAACAGGAUUAGAUACCCUGGUAGUCC
RNAcentral lists this ribosomal RNA (291 nucleotides) under uncultured bacterium. Its description in RNAcentral is "partial 16S ribosomal RNA". It matches the Rfam family "Bacterial small subunit ribosomal RNA", at positions 505 to 796 of the family's 1533-position model. The record is from RNAcentral.